GCCCGGCUAGCUCAAUCGGUAGAGCGUGUGACUCUUAAUCGUAUUAAUAAAUCACAAGGUUGGGGGUUCGACCCCCCCGUUGGGCU
Transfer RNA from Sclerotinia sclerotiorum, 86 nucleotides. It matches the Rfam family "tRNA". Rfam says of the family: Transfer RNA (tRNA) molecules are approximately 80 nucleotides in length. Lineage: Eukaryota; Fungi; Ascomycota; Leotiomycetes; Helotiales; Sclerotiniaceae. The record is from Rfam.